AUAGGGUCAAGUGACUAAGUGCAUGUGGUGGAUGCCUUGGCGAUCACAGGCGAUGAAGGACGUGGUAGCCUGCGAAAAGCGCGGGGGAGCUGGCAAACGAGCUUUGAUCCCGCGAUGUCCGAAUGGGGAAACCCACCCGCGAGGGUACCCUUGACUGAAUACAUAGGUCAUGUGGAGCGAACCGAGUGAACUGAAACAUCUCAGUAGCUCGAGGAACAGAAAUCAACCGAGAUUCCCAAAGUAGUGGCGAGCGAAAUGGGACGAGCCUGCACAACUAAACCAGUCUCUCAGCAGAACGGUCUGGAAAGUCCGGCCAUAGUGGGUGAUAGCCCCGUAUGUGAAAAGAGAUUGGCGGGUCUAGGUGUGCGACAAGUAGGGCGGGACACGUGUAAUCCUGUCUGAAGAUGGGGGGACCAUCCUCCAAGGCUAAAUACUCGUGAUCGACCGAUAGUGAACCAGUACCGUGAGGGAAAGGCGAAAAGAACCCCGGGAGGGGAGUGAAAUAGAUCCUGAAACCGCAUGCAUACAAACAGUGGGAGCCUCCUUGUGGGGUGACUGCGUACCUUUUGUAUAAUGGGUCAGCGACUUACGUUCAGUUGCGAGCUUAACCGAAUAGGGGAGGCGUAGCGAAAGCGAGUCUGAACAGGGCGUUCAGUAGCUGGGCGUAGACCCGAAACCGGAUGAUCUAUCCAUGGCCAGGUUGAAGGUGCGGUAACACGCACUGGAGGACCGAACCCACUAGUGUUGCAAAACUAGGGGAUGAGCUGUGGAUAGGGGUGAAAGGCUAAACAAAUCCGGAAAUAGCUGGUUCUCCUCGAAAACUAUUUAGGUAGUGCCUCGUAAUAGGCCUCCGGGGGUAGAGCACUGUAAUCGUUGGGGGGGUCACUUAGAUCUACCCCGCGAUAGCAAACUCCGAAUACCGGAGAGUCGUUUUACGGGAGACAGACAUCGGGUGCUAACGUCCGGUGUCGAGAGGGAAACAACCCAGACCCACAGCUAAGGUCCCAAAUGAUGUGCUAAGUGGUAAACGAAGUGGGAAGGCUAAGACAGCCAGGAAGUUGGCUUAGAAGCAGCCAUCCUUUAAAGAAAGCGUAAUAGCUCACUGGUCGAGUCGUCCUGCGCGGAAGAUGUAACGGGGCUAAGCACAUAACCGAAGCUUGGGAUUCAGGAAUCAGAGUUCAGGAAUUAGGUAUCAGAAUGGCGGUGCAUCGGUUUGAAGAUUUGGAGGUAUUCAAGCGGGCCUACAAGGUUUCGUUGGAGAUUCACCAAAUCAGUCUGGCGAUGCCGCAGGUUGAGCAGUUUGGGCUGGCCGAGCAGAUGCGUCGGGCCAGCAAGUCGAUCUGUGCCAAUCUGGCGGAGGGCUUUGGUAAGCAAAGUCUGUCGAAAACUGAAUUCAAGAGGUUCAUCAAGAUGGGUAUCGGGUCGGCCGACGAAAUGCGAGUUUGGCUGCGAUACUGUCUGGACCUGGGAUAUCUAGAUCAGAUUGAUUGGCAGUGUCUACGCGACGAGUACGAAGAGGUGGCGAAGAUGCUGCAGGGUCUCGCGCGCGGCGUGGCCUGAUCUGAUCCCUGAUCCCUGACCUCUGAUUCCUGAGUGGUAGAGGAGCGUUCUGUAGGCCUGUGAAGGUGUCCUGUGAGGGAUGCUGGAGGUAUCAGAAGUGCGAAUGCUGACAUGAGUAGCGAUAAAACGGGUGAAAAGCCCGUUCGCCGGAAGCCCAAGGUUUCCUACGCAACGUUCAUCGGCGUAGGGUGAGUCGGCCCCUAAGGCGAGGCAGAGAUGCGUAGCUGAUGGGAAACAGGUCAAUAUUCCUGUACCUUCGUUAACUGCGAUGGGGGGACGGAGAAGGCUAGGUCAGCCGGGUGUUGGAUGUCCCGGUUCAAGCGUGUAGGCGUGCUGCAUAGGCAAAUCCGUGCGGCUUAGCUGAGGCGUGACGACGAGCGGCCUUGAGCUGCGAAGUGAUUGAUGCCCUGCUUCCAGGAAAAGCCUCUAAGCUUCAGGUUAACGAAGACCGUACCGCAAACCGACACAGGUGGGCAGGGUGAGAAUCCUAAGGCGCUUGAGAGAACUCAGGAGAAGGAACUCGGCAAAUUGACACCGUAACUUCGGGAGAAGGUGUGCCCUGGUAGGGUGAAGGCCCUUGCGGCUGGAGCUCGAAGGGGUUGCAGUGAAAAGGUGGCUGCGACUGUUUAAUAAAAACACAGCACUCUGCAAACUCGAAAGAGGACGUAUAGGGUGUGACGCCUGCCCGGUGCCGGAAGGUUAAGUGAUGGGGUGCAAGCUCUUGAUCGAAGCCCCGGUAAACGGCGGCCGUAACUAUAACGGUCCUAAGGUAGCGAAAUUCCUUGUCGGGUAAGUUCCGACCCGCACGAAUGGCGUAACGAUGGCCACACUGUCUCCUCCUGAGACUCAGCGAAAUUGAAGUGUUUGUGAAGAUGCAAUCUCCCCGCGGCUAGACGGAAAGACCCCAUGAACCUUUACUGUAGCUUUGCAUUGGACUUUGACGGGACUUGUGUAGGAUAGGUGGGAGGCUGUGAAGCGGUGACGCCAGUCAUCGUGGAGCCAACCUUGAAAUACCACCCUGGUGUCGUUGAGGUUCUAACCUGCGCCCGUGAUCCGGGCGGGGGACAGUGCAUGGUAGGCAGUUUGACUGGGGCGGUCUCCUCCCAAAGUGUAACGGAGGAGUACGAAGGUUCUCUAGACACGGUCGGAAAUCGUGUUGAUAGUGCAAGGGCAUAAGAGAGCUUAACUGCGAGACCGACAAGUCGAGCAGGUGCGAAAGCAGGUCCUAGUGAUCCGGUGGUUCUGUAUGGAAGGGCCAUCGCUCAACGGAUAAAAGGUACUCUGGGGAUAACAGGCUGAUUCCGCCCAAGAGUUCACAUCGACGGCGGAGUUUGGCACCUCGAUGUCGGCUCAUCUCAUCCUGGGGCUGUAGCCGGUCCCAAGGGUAUGGCUGUUCGCCAUUUAAAGAGGUACGUGAGCUGGGUUUAAAACGUCGUGAGACAGUUUGGUCCCUAUCUGCCGUGGGCGCUGGAGAUUUGACGGGGGCUGCUCCUAGUACGAGAGGACCGGAGUGGACGCACCGCUGGUGUACCGGUUAUGACGCCAGUCGUAUCGCCGGGUAGCUAAGUGCGGAAGAGAUAACCGCUGAAAGCAUCUAAGCGGGAAACUUGCCUGAAGAUAAGAUCUCCCGGGGACUUGAUCCCCCUAAAGGGUCGUCGAAGACUACGACGUUGAUAGGUCGGGUGUGGAAGCGCAGUAAUGCGUUAAGCUAACCGAUACUAAUUGCCCGUGCGGCUUGACCCU
Molecule: ribosomal RNA, 3303 nt
Filed under: Sulfuritortus calidifontis
Lineage: Bacteria; Pseudomonadati; Pseudomonadota; Betaproteobacteria; Nitrosomonadales; Thiobacillaceae
Description: 23S ribosomal RNA
Rfam family: Bacterial large subunit ribosomal RNA
Source: RNAcentral